UUCAAAGGUAACUAUUUUUGAAUUCUGCUGUGAUGUACUCGUACUUAGUUGUUACUGAUGUCUGCUCAGUUGCGUGCUUGCACCGAGCAUUGCCAAUGCUUGUUUGAAUUUUUCUGAGGCAUUCGGCAUACUGAGAUAAUUGAUUUUGUUGGGCCAGUGUGGUGUUAUAUAUCAGGCUGCGCCAGUGUGGGGUUAUACGUAGUACUAUUUUACUUUAAAAAUGUCUUUGUACUAAAGAGAGAGUAUGUCAUAGUUGAUUUGCUGGCCAUUUCUAGCCAGACUCCGUUCCUUCACUCAAGUCGAGGGUGAGACAUGCUUUUUCAUUUUCUCUCACUCGUUUCUGAAGAUACGUUACAUCAUUCAGAGACCAGUGCAGGAAGGGAAACAACAUCAUUCGCAAGUGUUUUUUAAUCCCACUGUAGUUGAUAGUUUUUACCCUUUUUUCUAGUCAAUUACCUGAUGUCUCUCUAGAGAUAGGAGAUUGCCGCUAUUCAUCAUGGCUAAUUAGGGCAUCUCGUAAUAUUGCCAACAUCGGAACUAUCAUCAUCCCAAAGCUGCUGGCUAAGAUGAAGCAAGCCCAAAGAAAAGCACGUUUGGGAUUUGUUAAUGUACUCGUAACUAGUAAAACAAACACUCCCAGAUUCUUUAUAUGGAUUUUUUGUCUUGGGCCUCCUGCAUCUCACUGAGCAUUACCUUUUCUCAAGCCCGCCCUACUAACCGAAAUGAUCUGAACCUUUGUGUUUGAUUUCCCCUAAUCUGAAUUUAGAUUUAAGAUCGACACAACACUCUCUGAUGCAUAACUUUAUUGAAUGAUUUUUGUGCAGUUUUUCUUUUUUUCUUAGCUCACUGGCACAGUAAAGUUUGAGAGGGUAUCCAGUGGUAUUUUUGUCCUUUUUUGUUUCUGUGUUAAUCCACUUUUGUGAUAUAUAUUUAGAUAAAUUAGUGCCUCUUUUUUUAUGAGCAGGGUCUGAUGGAUGCCCGCAUGCAGAUUGAACGCGAGAUCGAAACUAAAACCAAGUCCUCCUUGAAAGAAGGGUUAGGUCAACAGCUUAAAAUUGAUCAUAUGAAGGAGUCCAAAGACUUAAAAAGAGAUUGCCUAAACAAUGUGCCGCACACAGGUACAGCUUUUGAAGUUGAAGGAGGGAAACCUGGGAGUGAUAGAAAUGAAGAAGGCGGAGAUAAGUUGUGUUAAAGAUAUUGAUUUAGAAGAGAGAGGCUAUGAUGUCGAGAUCACUGACACUGAAGCAUCAGAGGGUUUGCUAUGCGAAGAAGUUCUGACAUUGGUGUGUAACACUUUAUCUAUAAAUAUCCACUUUUUUUUGUUGUUUUAAAAAAUAGAUAAUGCAUGAACUAUGUUGCCUCUUUUUUCUUGCCCCAACCUAAUUAAUUUUUUUUUUGUUUUUCCCUCCGCCAGCUGAGUAAGAGUGCUCAAAGGAAAGAACGACGGGAAGCUCUUUUGGAACGAAAAAAGAAGAUACAUCACUACUUUUUCUUUUUUUUCAUCAGUUGGGGUUCCAUUUUUUUUUAUAGUUUUCCAGCUCAAAUAAAUUCACACACCUUUUUACCUUCUAUAUUUCUUUUGCAGCAGAGAGCAAGGAUUGACCCAACCACAACAAAGGCCACCAUUGAUGAGAUUGCAACUAAAGCUUACAGCCGGUGCAGUGUGCCAUACUUCUUUGAGAUUGUCAAUCUCGUGUGGAAGAGCCACCGCAGGGCCCAGCUUGUUAGGAACAGUGGUUUUGGCUAUCUGCUGGAGCUGGUCGACUGUCCUGUACCCAGGGGUUUGUGCAGUGGAUUGCUGAUAAUGUGGACACACAAGCAGAAGCAACUGUUUUGAACAAGAGCAUUCCACUCAACGCUCAGUCAGUGGAGUUUGUGUUGGGGAUUCCUUCAGGGUUUUACAUGACAUAGAGAACAUACAACUGGGAGAGGAGCAAAAGUUUUCCUCUUGUUUAGCUAUACAUGGGCUUUUUGCUUUUUUGUUGUGUGUUUGCUACGUCCAUGGGCAGGGUCACAGGUACAACGGGCCAAACAGACAGCAAAAACAAAAAACAAACAAACAAGCAAGCCCACACCACAAGCCCAUGCUAAGCAGGCCUAAUCUGCCAAGGAUGACGUCAGCUGACUGAGACUUCGCGAAGUCUCAGUCGACUGAGACCUAGACAGUCCCAUAGGAUAAGCACCACGGAGAGAGAGAAGGAAUCGAUGGAGGCCAUUGCGCAUGCUCGAAGGACUCUGGUUUUAUGUUCCAAAAAAAAGGACUCAGGUUUUUAUUUUAUGUUUUGAAGAAGAAACGA
Molecule: non-coding RNA, 2297 nt
Organism: Aegilops tauschii subsp. strangulata
Lineage: Eukaryota; Viridiplantae; Streptophyta; Magnoliopsida; Poales; Poaceae
Source: RefSeq, a predicted model, not a curated record